UUGUCUUUGAUUUUGAAUAGUUCUUUUUCCUGCUGUCUCGUACUGAUAUGCUAUUAUUUGCAGAUUUAUCUUCUCAAUUUUCAGAUUUUCUAUGCACUCUUUUCUGCAAUUGUUGGCUUCUUGCUUGGGGCAAGUGAUGGUCUAGCGAGAUUCAUUCUGUUGAUGCUGUUCAUGAGCUUUUUGAGCAGUUUCCUGAAGCUUUCAUGAAGUAUCUUCAUGUGCCAACCAAAGAGAGUUCUUUUUAUGCUUCCAAUCAGGUGAGUUGACCAUUAUAUUUGGAGCGUUGUGAUUACGUAUUCUUCUAAUUGAAUUUAUGCAAUCUUUGCUGUUAUAUUUAACACUUUUUAUGAAUAAAGAUGGAAUGUCUAUGAUUCCACAUGUAAUAUGCUUCAAUUUUUCCACUUGGUGUGUUAGACUUAUCCUUUAUUUUGUGUAUAUCAUUGAAUUGUCUGGGAUGCUUAGGAGCUUUCUUUAUUGCAUGUUA
This is a long non-coding RNA of Nymphaea colorata (pocket water lily), 484 nucleotides long. RefSeq lists it as uncharacterized. The transcript has 3 exons. The record is from RefSeq and is a predicted model, not a curated record. Lineage: Eukaryota; Viridiplantae; Streptophyta; Magnoliopsida; Nymphaeales; Nymphaeaceae.